UACGGAGAGUGCAAGCGUUAUCCGGAUUCACUGGGUUUAAAGGGUGCGUAGGUGGAGUGGUAAGUCAGUGGUGAAAUCUCCAAGCUUAACUUGGAAACUGCCGUUGAUACUAUCAUUCUUGAAUAUCGUGGAGGUAAGCGGAAUAUGUCAUGUAGCGGUGAAAUGCUUAGAUAUGACAUAGAACACCGAUUGCGAAGGCAGCUUGCUACACGAUCAUUGACACUGAGGCACGAAAGCGUGGGGAUCAAAC
RNAcentral lists this ribosomal RNA (250 nucleotides) under uncultured Chitinophagaceae bacterium. Its description in RNAcentral is "partial 16S ribosomal RNA". It matches the Rfam family "Bacterial small subunit ribosomal RNA", at positions 524 to 773 of the family's 1533-position model. Lineage: Bacteria; Pseudomonadati; Bacteroidota; Chitinophagia; Chitinophagales; Chitinophagaceae. The record is from RNAcentral.